Molecule: ribosomal RNA, 468 nt
Filed under: uncultured bacterium
Lineage: Bacteria
Description: partial 16S ribosomal RNA
Rfam family: Bacterial small subunit ribosomal RNA
Source: RNAcentral
GAUGAACGCUGGCGGCGUGCUUAACACAUGCAAGUCGAACGGUGAAGGCGGAGCUUGCUCUGCUGGAUCAGUGGCGAACGGGUGAGUAACACGUGAGCAAUCUGCCCCUGACUCUGGGAUAAGCGCUGGAAACGGCGUCUAAUACUGGAUACGAGCUGCGAAGGCAUCUUCAGCAGCUGGAAAGAACUUCGGUCAGGGAUGAGCUCGCGGCCUAUCAGCUUGUUGGUGAGGUAACGGCUCACCAAGGCGUCGACGGGUAGCCGGCCUGAGAGGGUGACCGGCCACACUGGGACUGAGAAACGGCCCAGACUCCUACGGGAGGCAGCAGUGGGGAAUAUUGCGCAAUGGGCGAAAGCCUGAUGCAGCAACGCCGCGUGAGGGACGACGGCCUUCGGGUUGUAAACCUCUUUUAGCAGGGAAGAAGCGAAAGUGACGGUACCUGCAGAAAAAGCGCCGGCUAACUACGUG